AUUGAACGCUGGCGGCAGGCCUAACACAUGCAAGUCGAGCGGAUGAAGGGAGCUUGCUCCUGGAUUCAGCGGCGGACGGGUGAGUAAUGCCUAGGAAUCUGCCUGGUAGUGGGGGAUAACGUCCGGAAACGGGCGCUAAUACCGCAUACGUCCUGAGGGAGAAAGUGGGGGAUCUUCGGACCUCACGCUAUCAGAUGAGCCUAGGUCGGAUUAGCUAGUAGGUGGGGUAACGGCUCACCUAGGCGACGAUCCCUAGCUGGUCUGAGAGGAUGACCAGCCACACUGGAACUGAGACACGGUCCAGACUCCUACGGGAGGCAGCAGUGGGGAAUAUUGCACAAUGGGCGCAAGCCUGAUGCAGCCAUGCCGCGUGUAUGAAGAAGGCCUUCGGGUUGUAAAGUACUUUCAGCGAGGAGGAAGGCGUUGUGGUUAAUAACCGCAACGAUUGACGUUACUCGCAGAAGAAGCACCGGCUAACUCCGUGCCAGCCGCCGCGGUAA
Molecule: ribosomal RNA, 500 nt
Filed under: uncultured Pseudomonadales bacterium
Lineage: Bacteria; Pseudomonadati; Pseudomonadota; Gammaproteobacteria; Pseudomonadales
Description: bacterial SSU rRNA
Rfam family: Bacterial small subunit ribosomal RNA
Source: RNAcentral